UGCUUUGAAGAAGAGAAGACCGACUUCUUCGUCUUCCUUACAACUUACGAAUCGCGACCAACUCCACCAGCUCCAAUUGUCUACCUCUUCUACUUCAACACCCUUCUAUCUGUUGCCGGAAAACAUGGGGAUUCAUCUGAAUUUCAACACAGAUAGCUGAAGAAACCGCGGACAUAGCUCUUGACUACAAUCCUAGCAACAACAAAGGAUGAAACUGGGAAAGCAACAAGAACAUCAGCGUUCAACAACAUCAAUAAGAAGUAAGGCAGCCCAUUUUGUGUCUGAUCUUACCACCGUUCUUCUUAAUCCAAUAUCUGAUAAACCCUCAUCGAAUUCCUCUCCUCGUUCUGGCGAUGUGAGUAAUGAACCAAGGAGAAACACACAACAAUGUAAUCAAGAAGAAGAUGUUCCAGUCUUGGUUGAUGGGCCAGAUACUUCCUCCUUCACCGCAUUUCUCUACUCAUUCUUAUCACCAGGAAGAUCAGAAAACGAGUCUGAAUAUUCAAAAUGGAACGACAACCAAGUGGUAACUAGCUACAAAAAUGACACAUCAUCCCCAAACGUUUCAAAAGAAAACAAUGGAAAGAAAGGUCUAUUCUCUAAGGGCAAACAGCCACUCGGCAAGGCUCUUUCACAAGCUGCUAUGUUUAGUGGGUAUCGAUCUCAUGCAUCUGGGAAAGUAAACACUGAAUCAAAGAUUGAUGACAUGAAAGAAACAAGCUCUCAAUUUGACACUAAUGAUGGGGUUCCUGUACAAAAUGUGAUUGCAUCUUUUCCUUCUGAUAAACUUCCAAAAAUGUCAAAACCUUCACAACUUAUGACAGAAGAUAAACGUUCUGAUCUUUAUGUUGCACUCCCUGUUCUUAGUCAAGGAAAGAAAUGGGUCUUAUUAUACAGUACAUGGAGGCAUGACAUAUCUCUUUCAACCUUAUAUAGAAGAAGCAAUCUUUGCCCUGGGUUAAGUCUGCUGGUUGUUGGAGAUCGUAAAGGUGCAGUGUUUGGUGGUUUAGUUGAGGCACCUUUGAAACCAUCAACAAAGAAAAGAUACCAGGUUUGUUUAAUUAUGAUGGUUUUUUAAUUAUA
Lactuca sativa (garden lettuce) is the source of this 1083-nucleotide RNA transcript. RefSeq lists it as uncharacterized. Lineage: Eukaryota; Viridiplantae; Streptophyta; Magnoliopsida; Asterales; Asteraceae. The record is from RefSeq and is a predicted model, not a curated record.